Molecule: ribosomal RNA, 448 nt
Filed under: uncultured bacterium
Lineage: Bacteria
Description: bacterial SSU rRNA
Rfam family: Bacterial small subunit ribosomal RNA
Source: RNAcentral
UCCAGACUCCUACGGGAGGCAGCAGUGGGGAAUAUUGCACAAUGGGGGGAACCCUGAUGCAGCGACGCCGCGUGAGUGAAGAAGUAUUUCGGUAUGUAAAGCUCUGUCAGCAGGGAAGAAGAAAGACGGUACCUGGCCAAGAAGCCCCGGCUAACUACGUGCCAGCAGCCGCGGUAAUACGUAGGGGGCAAGCGUUAUCCGGAUUUACUGGGUGUAAAGGGAGCGUAGACGGCAGGGCAAGUCUGGAGUGAAAGGCGGGGGCCCAACCCCUGGACUGCUCUGGAAACUGUCCGGCUGGAGUGCAGGAGAGGUAAGUGGAAUUCCUAGUGUAGCGGUGAAAUGCGUAGAUAUUAGGAGGAACACCAGUGGCGAAGGCGGCUUACUGGACUGUAACUGACGUUGAGGCUCGAAAGCGUGGGGAGCAAACAGGAUUAGAUACCCCGGUAAC